UACGGAGGGAGCAAGCGUUAUUCGGAUUCACUGGGCUUAAAGGGUGCGUAGGCGGGUAUGUAAGUCAGUGGUGAAAUCUCCGUGCUUAACACGGAAACUGCCAUUGAUACUAUGUUUCUUGAAUUUUCUGGAGGUUAGCGGAAUAUGUCAUGUAGCGGUGAAAUGCUUAGAUAUGACAUAGAACACCAAUUGCGAAGGCAGCUAACUACAGGGAUAUUGACACUGAGGCACGAAAGCGUGGGGAUCAAACAGG
Molecule: ribosomal RNA, 253 nt
Filed under: uncultured bacterium
Lineage: Bacteria
Description: partial 16S ribosomal RNA
Rfam family: Bacterial small subunit ribosomal RNA
Source: RNAcentral